AGUGAACGCUGGCGGUAGGCCUAACACAUGCAAGUCGAACGGCCGCACAGUAAGAGCUUGCUCUUACUGUUGGCGAGUGGCGGACGAGUGAGGCAUACAUCGCAAUCUACUUUUUCGUGGGGGAUUACGUAGGGAAACUUAUGCUACUACCUCAUACGUCCUACGGCUUAAAGCAGGAGAUCUUCGGACCUUGCGUGUUUGUAUGAGCCGAUGUCGGAUUAGCUUGUUGGCGGGGUAAGGGCCCACCAAGGCGACGAGCCGUAGCUUGUCUGAGAGGAGAAUGAGCCACACUGAAACUGGGACACGGCCCAGACUCCAAGGGGAGGCAGCAGUGGGGAAUAUUGGAAAAUGGGGGAAAGCAUGAGCCAGCAAUACCGGGUAGGUGAAGAAGGCCUUCGAGUGGUAAAGCCCUUUUGUAGGGAAAAAAAAACAGCAGGUUAAUACCCCGCUGUUCUGACGGUACCAAAAAAAUAAGCACCGGCUAACUUCGU
This 491-nucleotide ribosomal RNA is filed under the name uncultured bacterium. Its description in RNAcentral is "partial 16S ribosomal RNA". It matches the Rfam family "Bacterial small subunit ribosomal RNA", at positions 29 to 506 of the family's 1533-position model. The record is from RNAcentral.